AGCUCCUGCUAGGAAAAAAAAAAAGAGAACAAACAUUUUGUUGAGGAGCAGGAGAAAGUCAAAUACCCAAAGCUGUUUGUUACUUUUUCUGUUGAUCAUUAUGCAAGAUAAGGACACACGCUGUGGGACAAGUUUUGCCAAGAUAUGGGAUUGCAACAGUGUAAAGGAGCUGUGCAUUUAUCUGUGGGAAAGUAAAAGUUAUUUUGUUAUCUAUCUUGGAUUACUAAGUUUUUUACCAAGACUGUGUGCUCGUGGGUUUUGCUCAUUACCGUGAGAGUGGACAUCAUUCCUCUGGCCUCACUUUCUUUAGUGUAUAUGCACAGUCAUGUUCUAAACAGCCAUGUUUUGGCAUAGCCAAAAAUCUCUACCGAAAUGGGUGCCUGUCUGCUCACUCCUCUCUUCCCAUUCCCCACAGAGAAUAACUAAAGCUGCAGCUCUUAGUCCCCGCCUGUGGCACUCCAGAGAAGCGCUCAGAGAUGACAGGCAGGAAGAGAGACCGAGGGGAUCGGGGCGGGGACGCGGGGCUCUCCGCGGCUCUCCGGGACGACCCGAACAAGGGCUAGGCGACAGCAACCAGGGGCUCUCGCUCUCCUCCUCCCUCCCUCUCUCCUUUCCUUCCCUCACUCUCUUCCGUCCCGUCCCACCGCCCCCUGGGCGGGCCGCCCGCCGUGGCCCAUAUAGGGGCGGCUCGGGUUGCCGGCGGCACAGCGCAUCCUUCCACCCGCGGGCUCCUCUCGGAAAAGAGGCGGAUUCCCAAUUGCGCCGCUGGCAUGGCCUCAGUACCCUCCGCCGGCUGCCUCCUGGCCAAGAACCAGUACUACAGAAGGUUACCUGA
RNAcentral lists this long non-coding RNA (835 nucleotides) under Manacus vitellinus (golden-collared manakin). RNAcentral's name for it is "lncRNA (ENSMVIG00005001922.1)". The record is from RNAcentral. Lineage: Eukaryota; Metazoa; Chordata; Aves; Passeriformes; Pipridae.